RNAcentral lists this ribosomal RNA (498 nucleotides) under uncultured bacterium. Its description in RNAcentral is "partial 16S ribosomal RNA". It matches the Rfam family "Bacterial small subunit ribosomal RNA", at positions 30 to 523 of the family's 1533-position model. The record is from RNAcentral.
AUUGAACGCUGGCGGCAUGCUUUACACAUGCAAGUCGGACGGUAACAGGCCGCAAGGUGCUGACGAGUGGCGAACGGGUGAGUAAUGCAUCGGAACGUGCCCAGUCAUGGGGGAUAACGCAGCGAAAGCUGUGCUAAUACCGCAUACGAUCUAUGGAUGAAAGCGGGGGACCGUAAGGCCUCGCGCGAUUGGAGCGGCCGAUGUCAGAUUAGGUAGUUGGUGGGGUAAAGGCUCACCAAGCCAACGAUCUGUAGCUGGUCUGAGAGGACGACCAGCCACACUGGGACUGAGACACGGCCCAGACUCCUACGGGAGGCAGCAGUGGGGAAUUUUGGACAAUGGGCGCAAGCCUGAUCCAGCAAUGCCGCGUGCAGGAAGAAGGCCUUCGGGUUGUAAACUGCUUUUGUACGGAACGAAAAGGUUUGGGUUAAUACCCUGGGCCGAUGACGGUACCGUAAGAAUAAGCACCGGCUAACUACGUGCCAGCAGCCGCCGUAA